CGUACACUCCUGCGGGAGGCAGCAGUGGGGAAUAUUGGACAAUGGGCGCAAGCCUGAUCCAGCCAUGCCGCGUGAGUGAUGAAGGCCCUAGGGUUGUAAAGCUCUUUUGUGCGGGAAGAUAAUGACGGUACCGCAAGAAUAAGCCCCGGCUAACUUCGUGCCAGCAGCCGCGGUAAUACGAAGGGGGCUAGCGUUGCUCGGAAUCACUGGGCGUAAAGGGUGCGUAGGCGGGUCUUUAAGUCAGGGGUGAAAUCCUGGAGCUCAACUCCAGAACUGCCUUUGAUACUGAAGGUCUUGAGUUCGGGAGAGGUGAGUGGAACUGCGAGUGUAGAGGUGAAAUUCGUAGAUAUUCGCAAGAACACCAGUGGCGAAGGCGGCUCACUGGCCCGAUACUGACGCUGAGGCACGAAAGCGUGGGGAGCAAACAGGAUUAGAUACCCGGGUAGUCCCAUG
RNAcentral lists this ribosomal RNA (453 nucleotides) under uncultured organism. Its description in RNAcentral is "partial 16S ribosomal RNA". It matches the Rfam family "Bacterial small subunit ribosomal RNA", at positions 330 to 799 of the family's 1533-position model. The record is from RNAcentral.